UUUGUUUUGUACAGUUGUACA
RNAcentral lists this non-coding RNA (21 nucleotides) under Caenorhabditis elegans. Lineage: Eukaryota; Metazoa; Nematoda; Chromadorea; Rhabditida; Rhabditidae. The record is from RNAcentral.